CGAUGAUAUCUAGCAAUAUAUAGUGGUAAUCCAGUAGAACAGAAAAAUGAACUCCUAGGUGCAGUUAUCAUGUGAUACAAUCUCUCUAUCGAGAGUUUCGACUUGACGGAGGUCAUGGAGAACUCGUCAAACCUCAUUAUUAGUCAUAUGCUAGAUUGGCUCGACUACAAUUCAUUUGUGAAUCUCGUGAAAACUCUUUUUCAGUAUUUACACUUACUCUGGCUAAAGAUUUUUCUGAACUCAGUCUUAUGAAUCACAUAGGACUUCUCCUUUUCUAUCAAGAUCGAUA
This 289-nucleotide long non-coding RNA is filed under the name Elaeis guineensis (African oil palm). Its description in RNAcentral is "long non-coding RNA (EGUI_LNC024657)". The record is from RNAcentral. Lineage: Eukaryota; Viridiplantae; Streptophyta; Magnoliopsida; Arecales; Arecaceae.